RNAcentral lists this long non-coding RNA (506 nucleotides) under Bos indicus x Bos taurus (hybrid cattle). RNAcentral describes it as "lncRNA (ENSBIXG00000017387.1)". Lineage: Eukaryota; Metazoa; Chordata; Mammalia; Artiodactyla; Bovidae. The record is from RNAcentral.
CCUCAGCACCUCUGCCUCUUUGUUGGGAGCUGCAAGCCACAGAGACCAGCUCCAUUUUCAACUUCCCACAAGUAGCUCUGAAUUUCUUUUUAAAAGAGAUUGGAUUGGAUUGACUUUCACAUCCCGAGAAGGAGGUGGCUUUCAGACUCCUGAAGAGAGGAGUGAGUGGUCAGGGACCACCUAACCCAAGCUCUCCACCAGACAAGAGGAGCCCAGGGCCAAGAAGCAGGGUGGGGCAGUGCGUGAAGCCUUGGACUGCCAGUCCAGCCUGGCUGCAUGACCUCAGGUUAGGAUCCGUCUCCUUUUCUUCUCUGACCUCCAGCCUUCCCAGCAAAGGCGAGAGAACUGGACCAACUGCUCGCGGGCUCUAGCGCAAGUCCAGGCUGGGCUUCAGUCCCUGUCUCGCUGCUUACUAGCUCGGGGAUAUUGCUUUUCAUGUUGUAAACCUCAGUUUUCCACCUGGAAGCCUCCGUUUUCUCACUUGUGCUGGCCUCGUGGGGUUACUG